This 68-nucleotide transfer RNA is filed under the name Typhlatya monae. RNAcentral's name for it is "tRNA-Gln". The record is from RNAcentral. Lineage: Eukaryota; Metazoa; Arthropoda; Malacostraca; Decapoda; Atyidae.
UACAAUUUGGUGUAAAAGCACAUGAAGUUUUGAUUUUCAAAGGAUUGGUGUAAUUCCAUUAUUUGUAU